UAGUCCAUACGUAAACGAUGAAUGCUAAGUGUUGGAGGUUUCCCCUUCAGUGCUGCAGCUAACGCAUUAAGCAUUCCGCUGGGGAGUACGGCCGCAAGGCUGAAACUCAAAGGAAUUGACGGGGGCCCGCACAGCGGUGGAGCAUGUGGUUUAAUUCGAAGCUACGCGAAGAACCUUACCAGGUCUUGACAUACUAUGCAAAUCUAAGAGAUUAGACGUUCCCUUCGGGGACAUGGAUACAGGUGGUGCAUGGUUGUCGUCAGCUCGUGUCGUGAGAUGUUGGGUUAAGUCCCGCAACGAGCGCAACCCUUAUUAUCAGUUGCCAGCAUUAAGUUGGGCACUCUGGUGAGACUGCCGGUGACAAACCGGAGGAAGGUGGGGAUGACGUCAAAUCAUCAUGCCCCUUAUGACCUGGGCUACACACGUGCUACAAUGGAUGGUACAACGAGUUGCGAACUCGCGAGAGUAAGCUAAUCUCUUAAAGCCAUUCUCAGUUCGGAUUGUAGGCUGCAACUCGCCUACAUGAAGUCGGAAUCGCUAGUAAUCGCGGAUCAGCAUGCCGCGGUGAAUACGUUCCCGGGCCUUGUACACACCGCCCGUCACACCAUGAGAGUUUGUAACACCCAAAGUCGGUGGGGUAACCUUUAGGAACCAGCCGCCUAAGGUGGGACAGAUGAUUAGGGUGAAGUCGUAACAAGGUAACCA
RNAcentral lists this ribosomal RNA (705 nucleotides) under uncultured Lactobacillus sp. RNAcentral describes it as "bacterial SSU rRNA". It matches the Rfam family "Bacterial small subunit ribosomal RNA", at positions 791 to 1502 of the family's 1533-position model. The record is from RNAcentral. Lineage: Bacteria; Bacillati; Bacillota; Bacilli; Lactobacillales; Lactobacillaceae.